This 253-nucleotide ribosomal RNA is filed under the name uncultured bacterium. RNAcentral's name for it is "partial 16S ribosomal RNA". It matches the Rfam family "Bacterial small subunit ribosomal RNA", at positions 524 to 776 of the family's 1533-position model. The record is from RNAcentral.
UACAGAGGGGGCAAGCGUUAUUCGGAAUUAUUGGGCGUAAAGGGCGCGUAGGCGGCGAUUCAAGUGACGGGUGAAAUCCCUCGGCUUAACCGAGGAACUGCCUGUCAGACUGGAUUGCUUGAGGCCGGGAGAGGCGAGUGGAACUGCGAGUGUAGAGGUGAAAUUCGUAGAUAUUGGGAAGAACACCGGUGGCGAAGGCGGCGACCUGGUCCGAUACUGACGCUGAGGCGCGAAAGCGUGGGGAGCAAACAGG